Molecule: non-coding RNA, 563 nt
Organism: Arachis ipaensis
Lineage: Eukaryota; Viridiplantae; Streptophyta; Magnoliopsida; Fabales; Fabaceae
Source: RefSeq, a predicted model, not a curated record
UUUCAAAGAAGUUUUUUCUUUUUAUAUCUUUUUUCUUUUAUUUUUGUUAGAAAAUUGCAUCAAGGAUCAACAAGUCAUAAGUAUUAUUUUCUUCAUUAUGGCUGCAUAUUUAUGUGUGCCGUUAAUUUGUUAUCUUGUAAUCUUGUUUUAUAAUUUGUUGUGGCUGCAUUAUAAUAUGUUUUAAUCCAUAUAAUAUCUAGCUGCAUAUAAAUUUGUAUAAUAUAUUUUAUAAUUUGUUGUGCCUGCACACAAAAUUGGCUUCGUGCUUCUCCAAUGACAACUGAUUUUGAGGAGCUUAUUGAAGAGUUUGAAAAACUUGAAUUAGAAAUUGCACCAACCGGAGAAGAUGAUGAUGAGUCUGGUGUGGAUUCAUAUUAAGCAUGGUGGCUGUUUGGCUUUCAUUUAUUUUAAAGUGAUUGUUUCGGUUUAAAGUGUGUUUAUUUUUGUUGUUUUACUAGACAUUUUUAAUUGUAUUUGUUUUAUGUUUAAUUAAGUUGAAUUUGUAUUGAAUUGGGAUGUAAUAUACUCUUGUUAUUCUAGUUUAUUGACGGUUUUAAAGUUCA